UCGAGCGUCAUUAUAACCCUCAAGCACUGCUUGGUAUUGGACGUAAUCCACUAUUGGUGCGUCUCAAAGCCAUCAGCGGUAGCACUCGGCUUCUAGCGCAGUAAAUUUCUCGCUACGGAUCUGUAGUUGUGCGCCUGCUGGAAUCUUUAAACAUAUCAAAGGUUGACCUCGGAUCAGGUAGGGAUACCCGCUGAACUUAA
Molecule: unclassified non-coding RNA, 200 nt
Filed under: soil metagenome
Description: partial contains internal transcribed spacer 2 and large subunit ribosomal RNA
Source: RNAcentral